AGCGAACGCUGGCGGCAGGCUUAACACAUGCAAGUCGAGCGGGCAUCCUUGUGGUGUCCGCGGCAGACGGGUGAGUAACGCGUGGGAACGUGCCCUUCGGUUCGGAAUAACUCAGGGAAACUUGAGCUAAUACCGGAUACGUGCGAGAGCAGAAAGGUUUAUCUGCCGAAGGAUCGGCCCGCGUCUGAUUAGCUAGUUGGUGAGGUUAUGGCUCACCAAGGCGACGAUCAGUAGCUGGUCUGAGAGGAUGAUCAGCCACACUGGGACUGAGACACGGCCCAGACUCCUACGGGAAGCAGCAGUGGGGAAUAUUGGACAAUGGGGGCAACCCUGAUCCAGCCAUGCCGCGUGAGUGAUGACGGCCUUAGGGUUGUAAAGCUCUUUUCUUCGGGACGAUAAUGACGGUACCGGAGGAAUAAGCCCCGGCUAACUUCGUG
Molecule: ribosomal RNA, 437 nt
Filed under: uncultured bacterium
Lineage: Bacteria
Description: partial 16S ribosomal RNA
Rfam family: Bacterial small subunit ribosomal RNA
Source: RNAcentral